RNAcentral lists this ribosomal RNA (477 nucleotides) under Siro calaveras. RNAcentral's name for it is "partial 16S ribosomal RNA". It matches the Rfam family "Bacterial large subunit ribosomal RNA", at positions 1817 to 2600 of the family's 2925-position model. Lineage: Eukaryota; Metazoa; Arthropoda; Arachnida; Opiliones; Sironidae. The record is from RNAcentral.
AGUCUUAAGUUAAUAUUUAAGGUAAAAUCUGCUCCAUGAUUUUUAUUAAAUAGCUGUAGUAAUACACUAAGGUAGCAUAAUCAUUUGUUUUUUAAUUGAAAACUAGAAUGAAGGAUCACACGGUUAUAAUUUCUAAUAAAUAUAUUUUUUAAAUUUUAAAUUCUAAUAAAAAUGUUAGAAUACUGUAUAGGGACGAAAAGACCCUAUGAAGCUUAAUUAAUUAAAAUUUCAAAAUAUUUUAAUUAAUUUGGUUGGGGCAACCUUUUAAGAAAACUUAGCUUAAAAAAAUAUAAAUAAUUUAUUUUAAUUAUGGAUCCAUAAUUUAUGAUAAUAAGAUUAGUUACUCUAGGGAUAACAGCAUAAUUAAAAUUAGAAAGUUCAAAUUGACAGUUUUGAUUGUGACCUCGAUGUUGAAUUACUAACCUAUAAGGAGAAUGUUCUUUAUAAGGAGGUCUGUUCGACCUGUAAAAAAGUACA